GCGGCCCGGAGGCGACCUGUGCGCGAGGAGGCGCUGUGGAGGCUGAGGCCCAGCCCCUCGGAGGAAAGCCGAGAUAGGACGUUUCCUUGCGGGCUGAGCCGUGACUUGUCCCCUGGAGCAACACAUAGAAGAAGUGGCCUUGCAUCCUGCUCCGCCUCCCGAGCCGGGUCCUCGGUUCCCGGAAGCCCUGGGCUGCCCGGCUGGAGUUACCUUCUGUGCGUUCUCUCCUAAACCUACACGCUAUUCACGACUUUGUUGAUGACUAUGGAAAAAGACAAACCAAACCAAAGUCCCCCCGCCUGGCGAUGGUGCAAGGCUGUCUACCUGCUGGAGGAUGGUUGGAAUGUGCACACCUGGCUCGACCAAAAGAGGCACAGCUUAGGGGCAGCUUGGACCCAGCUCAAGUCUGAACUUGGCAGCUUUCCUGAGCCUGCCUAGGAAAGCAGGCUGGAGUGCAGGUGUCCCAGGGCUCUCUGGAGAAGCAGCAGCAACACCACGCCUGGCUCUGGUUUCUUGGUCUCCUCGGAGAGGAUGCUUGAAGGAAUGGCACUCCGCAGAGUACAGGCCCCGUAACAGUGCAGUGCAGCGACAUCAGCUGAGGACUGGACAGAACGAUCCUGAUGCUUGGCAGUGAUCCGUACAUGGAUAACCCUCUGUAUGAAAGGGCAGUGAGCCAGGAACCUCAAGCCACCCGGGAGCAGGGGCCUACUUGGCAUUUUCUGAGACGAGAGGCAGCGGAGUGUGUAGCAAAGGUGGUGCUGGCUCUUGCUGCUUCUGGAGCUCCAUCUCAGCAGCCCUCUGCAGUGCCACCUCCACCAGCAACUGGAAGCCGCUGAAGUCGUCCUUGUCCUGCUCUGGGGGUGUGGGCGGUGGUGUAUUGAAGAGUCCACCUGUGGGGCUUCCAGCCUCUGCCCUAGUCAGCAGGGGUCACUGUAAAGCUCUGGCUGUUCUGGAAUUCACUAUAUAGACCAAGGUGGCCUCAAAUGCUUCUACUUCCUGAUUACCAGGAUUAAAGUCACCAUGCUUGGACUGGAGAGAUGGCUCAGUGAUUAAGAGCACUGCCUCCUCUUCCAGAGGUCCUGAAUUCAAUUCCCAGCAACCAUGUGGUGGCUCACAACCAUCUAUAAAAUGCUCUGAUGCUCUCUCCUGGUGUGUCUGAAGACAGCUACAGUAUACUUAUA
RNAcentral lists this long non-coding RNA (1181 nucleotides) under Mus pahari (shrew mouse). RNAcentral describes it as "lncRNA (MGP_PahariEiJ_G0012418.1)". The record is from RNAcentral. Lineage: Eukaryota; Metazoa; Chordata; Mammalia; Rodentia; Muridae.